This 260-nucleotide ribosomal RNA is filed under the name uncultured bacterium. RNAcentral's name for it is "partial 16S ribosomal RNA". The record is from RNAcentral.
CUGCUGCCUUCCGUAGGAGUCUGGGCCGUGUCUCAGUCCCAAUGUGGCCGUUCAACCUCUCAGUCCGGCUACUGAUCGUCGACUUGGUAGGCCGUUACCCCACCAACUAUCUAAUCAGACGCGAGUCCAUCCUUAGGCGCCUCAGCUUUGGUAUAUCUACGAUGCCGUUAAUAUACUUUAUAUGGUAUUACCGUCCGUUUCCAGACGCUAUCCCUUUCCUAAGGGCAGGUUACUCACGCGUUACUCACCCGUCCGCCACU